Molecule: ribosomal RNA, 254 nt
Filed under: uncultured bacterium
Lineage: Bacteria
Description: partial small subunit ribosomal RNA
Rfam family: Bacterial small subunit ribosomal RNA
Source: RNAcentral
AGGACGAACGCUGGCGGCGUGCUUAACACAUGCAAGUCGAGCGGAAAGGCCCUUCGGGGUACUCGAGCGGCGAACGGGUGAGUAACACGUGAGUAACCUGCCCCUAGCUCUGGGAUAGCUCCGGGAAACCGGGAUUAAUACCAGAUACGACCACUUUAGACAUCUGUCGUGGUGGAAAGGAUUCCGGCUAGGGAUGGGCUCGCGGCCUAUCAGCUUGUUGUUGGGGUAACGGCCUACCAAGGCGACGACGGGUA